ACCCCGGUAGCUCAGUUGGUAAAGAAUCUGCCUGGCAAUGCAGGAGACCCAGGUUCGAUCCCUGGGUGGGGAA
RNAcentral lists this transfer RNA (73 nucleotides) under Bos taurus (domestic cattle). It matches the Rfam family "tRNA". From Rfam's summary of the family: Transfer RNA (tRNA) molecules are approximately 80 nucleotides in length. Their secondary structure includes four short double-helical elements and three loops (D, anti-codon, and T loops). Lineage: Eukaryota; Metazoa; Chordata; Mammalia; Artiodactyla; Bovidae. RNAcentral also lists the same sequence under 4 other names. The record is from Rfam by way of RNAcentral.